Molecule: ribosomal RNA, 1083 nt
Filed under: Cerrena zonata
Lineage: Eukaryota; Fungi; Basidiomycota; Agaricomycetes; Polyporales; Cerrenaceae
Description: partial 25S large subunit ribosomal RNA
Rfam family: Eukaryotic large subunit ribosomal RNA
Source: RNAcentral
ACGUAGGAAAGACUAACAGGAUUCCCCUAGUAACUGCGAGUGAAGCGGGAAAAGCUCAAAUUUAAAAUCUGGCGGUCUUUGGCUGUCCGAGUUGUAGUCUGGAGAAGCGUUUUCCGCGCUGGACCGUGUACAAGUCCCUUGGAAUAGGGCGUCAUAGAGGGUGAGAAUCCCGUCUUUGACACGGACUACCAGUGCUUUGUGAUGCGCUCUCAAAGAGUCGAGUUGUUUGGGAAUGCAGCUCAAAAUGGGUGGUAAAUUCCAUCUAAAGCUAAAUAUUGGCGAGAGACCGAUAGCGAACAAGUACCGUGAGGGAAAGAUGAAAAGCACUUUGGAAAGAGAGUUAAACAGUACGUGAAAUUGCUAAAAGGGAAACGCUUGAAGUCAGUCGCGUUAUGCAGAACUCAGCCUGGCUUUUGCUUGGUGUAUUUUUUGUAUGACGGGCCAGCAUCAAUUUUGGCCGCUGGAAAAAGGCCUCAGAAAUGUGGCACCUUCGGGUGUGUUAUAGUCUGAGGUCAUAUACAGCGGCUGGGAUUGAGGUCUGCAGCACGCCUUUAUGGCUGGGGUUCGCCCACAUUCGUGCUUAGGAUGCUGGCGUAAUGGCUUUAAACGACCCGUCUUGAAACACGGACCAAGGAGUCUAACAUGCCUGCGAGUGUUUGGGUGGAAAACCCGAGCGCGCAAUGAAAGUGAAAGUUGAGAUCCCUGUCGUGGGGAGCAUCGACGCCCGGACCAGACCUUUUGUGACGGAUCUGCGGUAGAGCAUGUAUGUUGGGACCCGAAAGAUGGUGAACUAUGCCUGAAUAGGGUGAAGCCAGAGGAAACUCUGGUGGAGGCUCGUAGCGAUUCUGACGUGCAAAUCGAUCGUCAAAUUUGGGUAUAGGGGCGAAAGACUAAUCGAACCAUCUAGUAGCUGGUUCCUGCCGAAGUUUCCCUCAAGAUAGCAGAACUUCGUAUCAGAUUUAUGUGUUAAAGCGAAUGAUUAGAGGCCUUGGGGUUGAAACAACCUUAACCUAUUCUCAAACUUUAAAUAUGUAAGAACAAGCCGUCUCUUAAUUGACCGCUUGUCGAUUGAGAGUUUCUAGU